ACGAUAACGGCGUCGAGCGGCGGACGGGUGAGUAAUGCCUAGGAAAUUGCCCUGAUGUGGGGGAUAACCAUUGGAAACGAUGGCUAAUACCGCAUGAUGCCUACGGGCCAAAGAGGGGGACCUUCGGGCCUCUCGCGUCAGGAUAUGCCUAGGUGGGAUUAGCUAGUUGGUGAGGUAAGGGCUCACCAAGGCGACGAUCCCUAGCUGGUCUGAGAGGAUGAUCAGCCACACUGGAACUGAGACACGGUCCAGACUCCUACGGGAGGCAGCAGUGGGGAAUAUUGCACAAUGGGCGCAAGCCUGAUGCAGCCAUGCCGCGUGUGUGAAGAAGGCCUUCGGGUUGUAAAGCACUUUCAGUCGUGAGGAAGGUAGUGUAGUUAAUAGCUGCAUUAUUUGACGUUAGCGACAGAAGAAGCACCGGCUAACUCCGUGCCAGCAGCCGCGGUAAUACGGAGGGUGCGAGCGUUAAUCGGAAUUACUGGGCGUAAAGCGCAUGCAGGUGGUUUGUUAAGUCAGAUGUGAAAGCCCGGGGCUCAACCUCGGAAUUGCAUUUGAAACUGGCAGACUAGAGUACUGUAGAGGGGGGUAGAAUUUCAGGUGUAGCGGUGAAAUGCGUAGAGAUCUGAAGGAAUACCGGUGGCGAAGGCGGCCCCCUGGACAGAUACUGACACUCAGAUGCGAAAGCGUGGGGAGCAAACAGGAUUAGAUACCCUGGUAGUCCACGCCGUAAACGAUGUCUACUUGGAGGUUGUGGCCUUGAGCCGUGGCUUUCGGAGCUAACGCGUUAAGUAGACCGCCUGGGGAGUACGGUCGCAAGAUUAAAACUCAAAUGAAUUGACGGGGGCCCGCACAAGCGGUGGAGCAUGUGGUUUAAUUCGAUGCAACGCGAAGAACCUUACCUACUCUUGACAUCCAGAGAACUUUCCAGAGAUGGAUUGGUGCCUUCGGGAACUCUGAGACAGGUGCUGCAUGGCUGUCGUCAGCUCGUGUUGUGAAAUGUUGGGUUAAGUCCCGCAACGAGCGCAACCCUUAUCCUUGUUUGCCAGCGAGUAAUGUCGGGAACUCCAGGGAGACUGCCGGUGAUAAACCGGAGGAAGGUGGGGACGACGUCAAGUCAUCAUGGCCCUUACGAGUAGGGCUACACACGUGCUACAAUGGCGCAUACAGAGGGCGGCCAACUUGCGAAAGUGAGCGAAUCCCAAAAAGUGCGUCGUAGUCCGGAUUGGAGUCUGCAACUCGACUCCAUGAAGUCGGAAUCGCUAGUAAUCGUGGAUCAGAAUGCCACGGUGAAUACGUUCCCGGGCCUUGUACACACCGCCCGUCACACCAUGGGAGUGGG
RNAcentral lists this ribosomal RNA (1339 nucleotides) under Vibrio parahaemolyticus. RNAcentral's name for it is "bacterial SSU rRNA". It matches the Rfam family "Bacterial small subunit ribosomal RNA", at positions 79 to 1414 of the family's 1533-position model. The record is from RNAcentral. Lineage: Bacteria; Pseudomonadati; Pseudomonadota; Gammaproteobacteria; Vibrionales; Vibrionaceae.